AAGAGCGGGAAAGUUGCGUAUCGUCAUCGUGUCAAUGGCGUCCUAAAAUGUUUGGGGAUAAUGCUGUUCUAUGACGGAUUGAAGGUCGUUUUAUUUCGCGAACGAAGACGGAAAUGUUUUACCUGAGGAUUGGAGCAGGGUUUUAGUGUUUUCUCUUGCCAUUUGAAGCGAGAAACACAUUUUACUGUGAAGAAAUGAACCGACUGGAACCGAAUGCGGUUUGAUGCUUCUUGCCUGAAACGUGCUAAAGGAAGGUCAAACAAUCACAGGCCUCGGAAAAUACCCUUCUGUGUGUCACACAAUAUGAGCAUCUACAGGUUACGGUUGGCGUCAUCAUUAGCAGGUCUGUGUCAGCCAGCAGCCCAGAGGGAGUUCAGAGAGGACCUGAGCUGUGAGAUGAGGUGAAAGCAGCCCAUAUUCCCUCAGUGACGGAGCGGCAAUUACCCCAAACUGUGAGUGCGUCCUCCUACCGGCCGCAGGAACAAUGGACUGUCUGUCAGUGGCGGUGUUGCCCAAGCAGAACAGAUGUGUGUGGACACGCGAGACAAUGGCGUGGCUGGAUAAGUGGGUUCCUGAUCUCCGAGGCAGGGGGGUCGGGGGGGACGGCAGCUUGUGUCCGAGACGCCUCCGUGGGGCGAGGGAGAAAUCCACAGGACCAGCGAAGAGCCCGAUCCAUCCCAAACACACACACACACACUCAGGAGCUGUCAUGGCCCCUGCGGAGACAGACCCUGCUGAUCGGCUGCUAAUGGACAUCUGCUAUAAAUGCCUCGCACCCGUCGCUCUGAUGAGACGGAGAUUAGUGCGUAUCGUGGAUGCACGUCCGCUCUACUCACACAAACAAAGCAAACUGACGAGAAAUAAUGCAAAAUCCACUGGGCUAAGUGGAAAAUCCCCUGUAUGAAGUCACACUCAGUCCAUAAGGAAGGCCGGAUCAGCCGGGAGACGUGUCAGUCCAUCUGAACCACUGCCAAUUUUCAAAUUAGCACCAAUUUUCUCCCCGGACAGCAGUUGGCGUUUCUCUUUUAAGAUUGUUGCUUUCGUUUUGAAAAAUAUGGUUCCUCUGAUGUCAUAGAGGAUCUUAUUUUUACGAUUCCUAGAGAACCUUUUCUUGGUUUUGUUUUUUAGGACAUUUUUAAAAUCUGACUUUAAAGAACCUUCCGUGGAAUGGAAAUAUUAUGUGUAAAGUAAAAGCUUCUAAGUGGAACCCUCUAUAGCUAUUUUAAUAUCCUCCUGUUUUAUGUGCAUUUCAGAAAGUCGCAUUAAAAAAAGCUUAAAGGUUC
Molecule: long non-coding RNA, 1283 nt
Filed under: Danio rerio (zebrafish)
Lineage: Eukaryota; Metazoa; Chordata; Actinopteri; Cypriniformes; Danionidae
Description: lncRNA si:ch211-284a16.4 (ENSDARG00000098768.2)
Source: RNAcentral